This is a long non-coding RNA of Asparagus officinalis (garden asparagus), 322 nucleotides long. RefSeq lists it as uncharacterized. The record is from RefSeq and is a predicted model, not a curated record. Lineage: Eukaryota; Viridiplantae; Streptophyta; Magnoliopsida; Asparagales; Asparagaceae. The transcript is spliced from 3 exons.
UUCUAUACAUAAUUUACUUGUGUUUUGUUGAGAAUUUAUGUGAUUUUUAAUAUUAUUAUUUUAAUGUAGACUGCAGAAGAAAUCUUAGUAGAUGAUAGAUGCCGAAUAAAUCAUUUGGCCACAAGCAUUGUUGCACUGUCACAGGGAGUGCCAUUUUUUCAUUCUGGUGAUGAGAUACUGCGUUCCAAGUCACUUGACCGCGACUCUUAUAACUCAGGCGAUUGGUUCAAUAGGCUUGAUUUCAGUUAUGAGACGAACAAUUGGGGUGUCGGCCUACCUCCGAGAGAAAAGAAUGAAAAGAACUGGCCAUUGUAAGCAUGAA